Molecule: ribosomal RNA, 486 nt
Filed under: uncultured bacterium
Lineage: Bacteria
Description: partial 16S ribosomal RNA
Rfam family: Bacterial small subunit ribosomal RNA
Source: RNAcentral
AUUGAACGCUGGCGGCAUGCCUUACACAUGCAAGUCGAACGGCAGCACGGGUGCUUGCACCUGGUGGCGAGUGGCGAACGGGUGAGUAAUACAUCGGAACAUGUCCUGUAGUGGGGGAUAGCCCGGCGAAAGCCGGAUUAAUUCCGCAUACGAUCUACGGAUGAAAGCGGGGGACCUUCGGGCCUCGCGCUAUAGGGUUGGCCGAUGGCUGAUUAGCUAGUUGGUGGGGUAAAGGCCUACCAAGGCGACGAUCAGUAGCUGGUCUGAGAGGACGACCAGCCACACUGGGACUGAGACACGGCCCAGACUCCUACGGGAGGCAGCAGUGGGGAAUUUUGGACAAUGGGCGAAAGCCUGAUCCAGCAAUGCCGCGUGUGUGAAGAAGGCCUUCGGGUUGUAAAGCACUUUUGUCCGGAAAGAAAUCCUUGGCUCUAAUACAGUCGGGGGAUGACGGUACCGGAAGAAUAAGCACCGGCUAACUACGUG